Gadus morhua (Atlantic cod) is the source of this 713-nucleotide long non-coding RNA. RefSeq lists it as uncharacterized. The record is from RefSeq and is a predicted model, not a curated record. Lineage: Eukaryota; Metazoa; Chordata; Actinopteri; Gadiformes; Gadidae. The transcript is spliced from 2 exons.
CCGCAUAUCUUGCUUCACAGUUCCAGCAUGUAUUUAAUUUCCCAGAUAUUUGAACUACUAAAAGAUAGCCCUGUGCAUAUGCAGGUAGCACACCGUUAGUCCACAGACGUAUGCAUAUAAUAAUAAGACCAUUGAGCUGAAACCGUGGCACAGAUAAAUGUGCUCCUUGCUGUCGUGGCGUAUGUGUAUCGCAUUCACGCCGAGGGCCCCCGCCCAGGGGGGCUUGCUUGCCUGGCUGCAUGACUCACACAGGUCCUCUUUGUGUGGGACUGUACUCCAGCCAGGGCAGCCACACCACAGAACCAGCAGCCCCACUGCAGCACGGCGUGUACUUGGGAGACAAGCACUCCGUUACAUGGAGGAAGGGAACCUCCUCAUCGCAUCGAAGGGAUACCGGGGUAACGGAGUAACCCUUUAUCGCUGUGCUGCCCCCUAGGCGAGGAGGAACAGAUGCACAUACAGCCGAUGUUUGCUCCAGACCUCGCUGUUCCAGAUUUAGUAUUUCUAAAUUGAAAAAAGUUUUUUAAACUGAUAUUGACAUUGAUGUAUAAAUAUAUAAUGUCUGUAUUGCAUUAAAAAAUUGAAGCGGCUCUCGCUAAGAAAUUGUAGAGAAGAUGAUCGGAUGAACGGGUAGCCCACGUCCAUUUAUCACUUUGUUUCUAAAGCUUAUCACAGUGACCUUCAAUAGGCAAUAAAGUCGGAUUGUAAUUUUG